GUGGCAUGCCAAACCUCGCACUUUGAUGGCAUUGUUAAAUAUAACAUCAAAAUGACAACAUAAUAAUACAGGACCACAAUACAAACAAAUAGGAGAACGUAUUAGCAAAGAAACACACGAACAACAGAUAACAAAAGGCAUCAGGUUUAAAAUUCAUUACGUCAAAAAACGCGCCUCGUCCAAACAAGAAUUACCAGUGACGCCCAG
Molecule: long non-coding RNA, 207 nt
Filed under: Mytilus galloprovincialis (Mediterranean mussel)
Lineage: Eukaryota; Metazoa; Mollusca; Bivalvia; Mytilida; Mytilidae
Source: RNAcentral